CAGCAGCCGCGGUAAUACCGGCGGCCCGAGUGGCGGCCACUAUUAUUGGGCUUAAAGCGUCCGUAGCCGGGUUGGUUAGUCUCCCGGGAAAUCUGGCCGCUUAACGGUCAGAAUUCCGGGAGAUACUGCCAGCCUAGGGACCGGGAGAGGCCGAGGGUAUUCCCGGAGUAGGGGUGAAAUCCUAUAAUCCCGGGAGGACCACCUGUGGCGAAGGCGCUCGGCUGGAACGGGUCCGACGGUGAGGGACGAAGGCCAGGGGAGCAAACCGGAUUAGAUACCCGGGUAGUCCUGGCUGUAAACGAUGCGGACUUUGUGUCGGACAAGCUAAGGGCUUGUCCGGUGCCGCAGGGAAGCCGUUAAGUCCGCCGCCUGGGGAGUACGGCCGCAAGGCUGAAACUUAAAGGAAUUGGCGGG
Molecule: ribosomal RNA, 414 nt
Filed under: uncultured microorganism
Description: bacterial SSU rRNA
Rfam family: Archaeal small subunit ribosomal RNA
Source: RNAcentral